Molecule: ribosomal RNA, 481 nt
Filed under: uncultured bacterium
Lineage: Bacteria
Description: partial 16S ribosomal RNA
Rfam family: Bacterial small subunit ribosomal RNA
Source: RNAcentral
GAUGAACGCUGGCGGCGUGCUUAACACAUGCAAGUCGAACGAAACACCUUAUUUGAUUUUCUUCGGAACUGAAGAUUUGGUGAUUGAGUGGCGGACGGGUGAGUAACGCGUGGGUAACCUGCCCUGUACAGGGGGAUAACAGUCAGAAAUGACUGCUAAUACCGCAUAAGACCACAGCACCGCAUGGUGCAGGGGUAAAAACUCCGGUGGUACAGGAUGGACCCGCGUCUGAUUAGCUGGUUGGUGAGGUAACAGCUCACCAAGGCGACGAUCAGUAGCCGGCUUGAGAGAGUGAACGGCCACAUUGGGACUGAGACACGGCCCAAACUCCUACGGGAGGCAGCAGUGGGGAAUAUUGCACAAUGGGGGAAACCCUGAUGCAGCGACGCCGCGUGAGUGAAGAAGUAUUUCGGUAUGUAAAGCUCUAUCAGCAGGGAAGAAAAUGACGGUACCUGACGAAGAAGCCCCGGCUAACUACGUG